GGGGAAUAUUGCACAAUGGGCGCAAGCCUGAUGCAGCGACGCCGCGUGGGGGAUGACGGCCUUCGGGUUGUAAACUCCUUUCGCUAGGGACGAAGCUUUUGUGACGGUACCUAGAUAAGAAGCACCGGCUAACUACGUGCCAGCAGCCGCGGUAAUACGUAGGGUGCGAGCGUUGUCCGGAAUUACUGGGCGUAAAGGGCUCGUAGGUGGUUUGUCGCGUCGUCUGUGAAAUUCCGGGGCUUAACUCCGGGCGUGCAGGCGAUACGGGCAUAACUUGAGUACUGUAGGGGUAACUGGAAUUCCUGGUGUAGCGGUGAAAUGCGCAGAUAUCAGGAGGAACACCGAUGGCGAAGGCAGGUUACUGGGCAGUUACUGACGCUGAGGAGCGAAGGCAUGGGUAGCGAACAGGAUUAGAUACCCUGGUAGUCCAUGCCGUAAACGGUGGGCGCUAGGUGUGAGGGUCUUUUCACGACUUUCGUGCCGUAGCUAACGCAUUAAGCGCCCCGCCUGGGGAGUACGGCCGCAAGGCUA
Molecule: ribosomal RNA, 531 nt
Filed under: uncultured bacterium
Lineage: Bacteria
Description: bacterial SSU rRNA
Rfam family: Bacterial small subunit ribosomal RNA
Source: RNAcentral